GCGCUCAUGGUGUAGUGGUUUUGCAUGCCACCUUCCCAUACACGCCAUGUGGAUCGCAAGGUGGAGGUCAGGGGUUCGAACCCCCUUGGGCGCA
This is a non-coding RNA of Violaceomyces palustris, 94 nucleotides long. The record is from the annotation of a GenBank genome assembly. Lineage: Eukaryota; Fungi; Basidiomycota; Ustilaginomycetes; Violaceomycetales; Violaceomycetaceae.